CAAUAGCGUAUAUUUAAGUUGUUGCAGUUAAAAAGCUCGUAGUUGGAUUUCGGAUGGGAUUUGCCGGUCCGUCGUUACGAUGUGCACUGGCCAGUCCUAUCUUGUUGUCGGGGACUAGCUCCUUGGAUUCACUUCCUGGGACUAGGAGCUGACGAGGUUACUUUGAGUAAAUUAGAGUGUUCAAAGCAAGCCUACGCUCUGAAUACAUUAGCAUGGAAUAGCACGAUAGGACUCUGGCUUAUCUUGUUGGUCUGUGAGACCAGAGUAAUGAUUAAGAGGGACAGUCGGGGACAUUCGUAUUUCAUUGUCAGAGGUGAAAUUCUUGGAUUUAUGAAAGACGAACUUCUGCGAAAGCAUUUGUCAAGGAUGUUUUCAUUAA
RNAcentral lists this ribosomal RNA (379 nucleotides) under uncultured eukaryote. RNAcentral's name for it is "partial 18S ribosomal RNA". It matches the Rfam family "Eukaryotic small subunit ribosomal RNA", at positions 592 to 976 of the family's 1831-position model. The record is from RNAcentral.